Molecule: ribosomal RNA, 254 nt
Filed under: uncultured bacterium
Lineage: Bacteria
Description: partial 16S ribosomal RNA
Rfam family: Bacterial small subunit ribosomal RNA
Source: RNAcentral
CACGUAGGGGGCAAGCGUUGUCCGGAUUUAUUGGGCGUAAAGAGCUCGUAGGUGGCUUAGUAAGUCGGGUGUGAAACCUCCAGGCUCAACCUGGAGACGCCACCCGAUACUGCUAUAGCUUGAGUCCGGUAGGGGAGCGUGGAAUUCCUGGUGUAGCGGUGAAAUGCGCAGAUAUCAGGAGGAACACCGGUGGCGAAGGCGGGUCUCUGGGCCGAUACUGACGCUGAGGAGCGAAAGCGUGGGGAGCGAACAGG